GUGAAUUUAGAGCGUAACUUCGGUUAGCUCAACCUUCAUUUUCCAACUCUGUGCACUAUUGGCGGACUGGGAGUAAGAAAUUACUAUUCAGUCUGCGGCUCACUAUUAAACAUUAGUUAAAGUAUGUAUAUAAAAAUAAAACAAAAAA
Molecule: unclassified non-coding RNA, 148 nt
Filed under: uncultured fungus
Lineage: Eukaryota; Fungi
Description: sequence contains ITS1, 5.8S rRNA gene
Source: RNAcentral